UCCCGCUUAGCUCAGUUGGUAGAGCGCGUCACUAGUAUUAUCACCUGAUACAAAAAUGGCAGGUCACGUGAAAUCACGUGAUGACGAGGUCGGUCGUUCGAGUCGGCCAGUGGGAA
Molecule: transfer RNA, 116 nt
Filed under: Trametes sanguinea
Lineage: Eukaryota; Fungi; Basidiomycota; Agaricomycetes; Polyporales; Polyporaceae
Description: tRNA-Thr
Source: RNAcentral